UUGACCUCGGAUCAGGUAGGACUACCCGCUGAACUUAAGCAUAUCAAUAAGCGGAGGAAAAGAAACCAACAGGGAUUGCCCCAGUAACGGCGAGUGAAGCGGCAACAGCUCAGAUUUGGAAUCUGGCCCCCAGGGCCCGAGUUGUAAUCUGGAGAGGAUGCUUCUGGCGCGGCGCCUUCCGAGUUCCCUGGAACGGGACGCCGGAGAGGGUGAGAGCCCCGUACGGUUGGACGCCUAGCCUUUGUGAAGCUCCUUCGACGAGUCGAGUAGUUUGGGAAUGCUGCUCAAAAUGGGAGGUAAAUUUCUUCUAAAGCUAAAUACCGGCCAGAGACCGAUAGCGCACAAGUAGAGUGAUCGAAAGAUGAAAAGCACUUUGAAAAGAGGGUCAAACAGUACGUGAAAUUGUUGAAAGGGAAGCGCCCGUGGCCAGACUUGUGCCCCGCGGACCACCCGGCGCCCUCAGCGCCGGUGCACUCCGCGGGGCGCAGGCCAGCAUCGGUUUUCCUAGGGGGAUAAAGGCGGCGGGAACGUGGCUCCCUCGGGAGUGUUAUAGCCCGCCGCGCCAUGCCCCUGGGGGGACCGAGGACCGCGCUUCGGCAAG
RNAcentral lists this ribosomal RNA (601 nucleotides) under Leptographium terebrantis. Its description in RNAcentral is "eukaryotic LSU rRNA". It matches the Rfam family "Eukaryotic large subunit ribosomal RNA", at positions 1 to 609 of the family's 3401-position model. Lineage: Eukaryota; Fungi; Ascomycota; Sordariomycetes; Ophiostomatales; Ophiostomataceae. The record is from RNAcentral.